Molecule: non-coding RNA, 93 nt
Filed under: Polaromonas naphthalenivorans
Lineage: Bacteria; Pseudomonadati; Pseudomonadota; Betaproteobacteria; Burkholderiales; Comamonadaceae
Also listed under: 1 other name
Description: SAH sequence
Rfam family: SAH (S-adenosyl-L-homocysteine) riboswitch aptamer
Source: RNAcentral
UAACUCAAGGAGCGUUGCAGCAAAACAUCCGUUUUGUCAGGCUUGGGUAAACAGGGCCGCAUCAUCCCCUUUUAGCAACGACGCUCACCUUUA